This is a long non-coding RNA of Numida meleagris (helmeted guineafowl), 458 nucleotides long. RefSeq lists it as uncharacterized. The transcript is spliced from 3 exons. The record is from RefSeq and is a predicted model, not a curated record. NCBI's taxonomy places the organism in Eukaryota, Metazoa, Chordata, Aves, Galliformes, Numididae.
UGGUUGUACACAUUUGCUGUAGUGUGGGUUUCAUUAGAAGAAUUACUUCUGAGAAACUGAAUAAAUCACUAAGGACUUGCUUUCUGUUUAGAAAGUUUUGGCUCGGAUAAAAGAGCAGAUUAAACCUUCGUUGAGAUCAAAUUUCCAUUAGAUGGACGAUCUUCAUCCAAACACCUAAAGACUAACUCCUGUUCUGAAGCUAAAGAAACCACAAGGAAGAAAUAUGGUAUCCUGAAAAUAUCAUACUCUGUAAUAUUGAUCUGAAAGCAAUGAAACCAACCAUAUGUAUAAAACUACAAACAAACAAAAAACAAGUAUAUGGAUUUGCAGCAUUUAUGCUUGCAUGGCUAAUGUGGAGGUUAUGAGGAAUGUAUUGCUUGUUUGCUCAGAUAGUAGGGAUAAAAACAAGCUUUCAUGUAACUGCCACGUUUACAUAUUACAAAUUAGAUCAGCUUGUG